UAGUCCACGCUGUAAACGAUGAGUGCAAGGUGUUGGGGGUCAAACCUCGGUGCCGCCGUUAACACAGUAAGCACUCCGCCUGGGGAGUACGUACGCAAGUAUGAAACUCAAAGGAAUUGACGGGGACCCGCACAAGUAGCGGAGCAUGUGGUUUAAUUCGAUGCAACGCGAAAAACCUUACCAGGACUUGACAUAAAAGUGACGAGGGAUAGAGAUAUUCCUCUUCUCUUCGGAGACAGUUUUAC
This 245-nucleotide ribosomal RNA is filed under the name uncultured bacterium. RNAcentral's name for it is "partial 16S ribosomal RNA". It matches the Rfam family "Bacterial small subunit ribosomal RNA", at positions 791 to 1035 of the family's 1533-position model. The record is from RNAcentral.